This 254-nucleotide long non-coding RNA is filed under the name Lathyrus oleraceus (garden pea). RNAcentral describes it as "Pisum sativum (pea) long non-coding RNA (PSAT_LNC013414)". Lineage: Eukaryota; Viridiplantae; Streptophyta; Magnoliopsida; Fabales; Fabaceae. The record is from RNAcentral.
GCGAAGCUCUGCUCGCUUUUCCAACAAACUCACCAUAUUGCCGACGUGGUUCGAUAGGGGUAACGAUUUAAAAAUAAGUGCUAUUGCAAUAUUGAUUCACUGUUUUAGUUCCGUUACCAUUUCAAUUUAUGCAUGUUGGGUUGUGUAUUGAUUGCUUCAUUUCAAGUUUGAUUUGAGUGUGUUUACAUUUGCUGGUUUAUUUUUCGAGUGAAGCAUUCAAUGAUAAGCAUGUGUGAUUAUGGUUGCAAGAUUGC